This 443-nucleotide ribosomal RNA is filed under the name uncultured bacterium. RNAcentral describes it as "partial 16S ribosomal RNA". It matches the Rfam family "Bacterial small subunit ribosomal RNA", at positions 338 to 795 of the family's 1533-position model. The record is from RNAcentral.
CCUACGGGAGGCAGCAGUGGGGAAUAUUGGGCAAUGGGCGCAAGCCUGACCCAGCAACGCCGCGUGAAGGAAGAAGGCUUUCGGGUUGUAAACUUCUUUUCUCAGGGACGAAGAAAGUGACGGUACCGGAGGAAUAAGCCACGGCUAACUACGUGCCAGCAGCCGCGGUAAGACGUAGGGGGCAAGCGUUAUCCGGAUUUAUUGGGUGUAAAGGGCGUGUAGGCGGGAGCGCAAGUCAGAUGUGAAAACUCAGGGCUCAACCCUGAGACUGCAUUUGAAACUGUGUUUCUUGAGUGCUGGAGAGGCAAUCGGAAUGCCGUGUGUAGCGGUGAAAUGCGUAGAUAUACGGAAGAACACCAGUGGCGAAGGCGGAUUGCUGGACAGUAACUGACGCUGAGGCGCGAAAGCGUGGGGAGCAAACAGGAUUAGAUACCCCGGUAGUC